GACGAACGCUGGCGGCGUGCCUAAUACAUGCAAGUCGAGCGCAGGAAAUCGACGGAACCCUUCGGGGGGAAGUCGAUGGAAUGAGCGGCGGACGGGUGAGUAACACGUAAAGAACCUGCCCUCAGGUCUGGGAUAACCACGGGAAAUCGGGGCUAAUACCGGAUGGGUCAUCGGACCGCAUGGUCCGAGGAUGAAAGGCGCUUCGGCGUCGCCUGGGGAUGGCUUUGCGGUGCAUUAGCUAGUUGGUGGGGUAAUGGCCCACCAAGGCGACGGUGAAUAGCCGACCUGAUAGGGUGAUCGGCCACACUGGGACUGAGACCCGGCCCAGACUCCGACGGGAGGCAGCAGGAGGGAAUCUUCCACAAUGGCCGAAAGUCUGAUGGAGCAACGCCGCGUGAACGAUGAAGGCCUUCGGGUCGUAAAGUUCUGUUGUAAGGGAAGAACAAGUGCCGCAGGCAAUGGCGGCACCUUGACGGUACCUUGCGAGAAAGCCACGGCUAACUACGUGCCAGCCGCCGCCGUAA
RNAcentral lists this ribosomal RNA (524 nucleotides) under uncultured bacterium. Its description in RNAcentral is "partial 16S ribosomal RNA". It matches the Rfam family "Bacterial small subunit ribosomal RNA", at positions 28 to 523 of the family's 1533-position model. The record is from RNAcentral.